This is a long non-coding RNA of Tachysurus vachellii, 562 nucleotides long. RefSeq lists it as uncharacterized. The transcript has 5 exons. The record is from RefSeq and is a predicted model, not a curated record. NCBI's taxonomy places the organism in Eukaryota, Metazoa, Chordata, Actinopteri, Siluriformes, Bagridae.
CGAGGCUUGAGUUUAAACCUGGUGACAAUUUCAAUGGCUUUAAUGUCUGUUGAAAAUAUGUCCGUGAGCACUUUUCUAUGGGUCAUGGGCUUUUUACCGCUCUGGAAGUCUACAUUUAUUUAAAAGCUUUUUUUUUUUUUAUAGCACGUGCAAUACUAAUGAACCACGUGGUUCUAGAAGCUACAAUGCUAAGGCGAGGUUAACUGCAUAGCCUCAUGCUCUGAUGCUAAUCUUAUUAGCCUUCCUACACAACCACGAUGCCUUGAGGAUCAGUUUGUUCACCAACUCGAGCUUUUCCUCCUAAACCACGAGAAAACCGUGGACAUCAUGUGGUGCUUCAGUUCAUCCGAGUCUCCUGCAUCAGCAAGGGGAUUAAAAGGACCUCCUGAUCAUUAAGAACUGAUGUUCAAGUCAGACUACAGUCUCUUGCUUUUAUACACCAUCUAUGGCAGAUAACAAGCGACGUGGCUGAGAUGGAGAAGCUUCCACAGCGGAAGACUACCUAGUGAUUUUUUUUUUUUUUUUUUUUUUUUGCUUAAGAACGAGUAUGAUUUUAUGUGAC